CCCCCCCGACUCUGAUGUAGCCAUAUCGGUAAACCUCGUUAAUAAAUCUCGGUGUCGUGCUCGUAUGAUUGCUUGAUCCUCGGAUGAUUGAUGGUGUGCCUCGGAUUUAUUCUAACACCUGUUGCGGUCUUGAGAACUGUCCUUAAUUACAAUACAUAACAAUGUAAAAAAAUUACAAUACAUAAACCACGACAAGAUGCGCUGUUAGGCAGUACUACUACGUACUAGUAUAAUACAUCAGGAGGUUAAUGAUUGCAAAGCCUAUUACGCAGCCUUUAUCUCCCCUUCUAUAUCAGGACCUGUGUGCUCCCACAGCCAUAAUCAAGCCGCUCGAUGAGCUGUUCCGAACCAAACGACUUCCCGGCGUACUAUUUGCCCAACACUGAUGCGAAGAAAAUCACAGAAACCUCGCGAAAAAACAGCGUCCAGCCUCGCAUGGGCAGUUGGGCACACCGGAAACUGAAGCAUUCAUCGCGAUGCAUGCACGCACGCCCACCUUUGAAUUUGGCUUCAUCACACCGCGUAUUAUCACAUCACAUGAAAUCCCCCAUUAAACUCGGAAAAGGGCGAAAAGGUCGCCCCCAGCACGGCUUCUCUCGACCUUUUUACGCCGGAAACCGACGCCGGGAAGGAUAGAAAGGAGCCGGGCGUGCGUACAGCUCCGUAACAGAGCUCCCGUUUUUGUUGCGACGCGACGGCAGCAGGCCGCCCCCCAUGCCCGACCGGGCGGCGACGACGACAGCGAUCAGUUGGUUGUAGGAGGAGGAGUGGGGGGAUUGGCUUCGCUAGCGUACACAUAAGCCUCCUCCCACGUAAUCUCGCCUGUCACCCAGUGCAGAUUUUUAGUUUUCCUUGGCGACUUUCAGCAUGCUCGACGCCCGUCCCUCGCGGUCUGUCUGUUGGGCUAUUAGAGAUUGGCCCGGGUUAAUUAUCGAGGGUUC
This 941-nucleotide long non-coding RNA is filed under the name Hordeum vulgare. RNAcentral describes it as "long non-coding RNA (HVUL_LNC003628)". The record is from RNAcentral. Lineage: Eukaryota; Viridiplantae; Streptophyta; Magnoliopsida; Poales; Poaceae.